This 451-nucleotide ribosomal RNA is filed under the name uncultured bacterium. Its description in RNAcentral is "bacterial SSU rRNA". It matches the Rfam family "Bacterial small subunit ribosomal RNA", at positions 354 to 796 of the family's 1533-position model. The record is from RNAcentral.
GUGGGGAAUAUUGGACAAUGGGCGAAAGCCUGAUCCAGCCAUGCCGCGUGUGUGAAGAAGGCCUUUUGGUUGUAAAGCACUUUAAGUGGGGAGGAGGCUUACCUGGUUAAUACCUGGGCUAAGUGGACGUUACCCACAGAAUAAGCACCGGCUAACUCUGUGCCAGCAGCCGCGGUAAUACAGAGGGUGCGAGCGUUAAUCGGAUUUACUGGGCGUAAAGCGCGCGUAGGUGGUUAAUUAAGUCAAAUGUGAAAUCCCCGAGCUUAACUUGGGAAUUGCAUUCGAUACUGGUUAGCUAGAGUAUGGGAGAGGAUGGUAGAAUUCCAGGUGUAGCGGUGAAAUGCGUAGAGAUCUGGAGGAAUACCGAUGGCGAAGGCAGCCAUCUGGCCUAAUACUGACACUGAGGUGCGAAAGCAUGGGGAGCAAACAGGAUUAGAAACCCGUGUAGUCC